Molecule: ribosomal RNA, 558 nt
Filed under: Limosilactobacillus mucosae
Lineage: Bacteria; Bacillati; Bacillota; Bacilli; Lactobacillales; Lactobacillaceae
Description: bacterial SSU rRNA
Rfam family: Bacterial small subunit ribosomal RNA
Source: RNAcentral
UAGCCGAGUUGAGAGACUGAUCGGCCACAAAGGGAAUGAGACACGGUCCAUACUCUACGGGAGGCAGCAGUAGGGAAUCUUCCACUAUGGGCGCAAGCCUGAUGGAGCAACACCGCGUGAGUGAAGAAGGGUUUCGGCUCGUACAGCUCUGUUGUUAGAGAAGAACGUGCGUGAGAGCAACUGUUCACGCAGUGACGGUAUCUAACCAGAAAGUCACGGCUAACUACGUGCCAGCAGCCGCGGUAAUAUGUAGGUGGCAGCGUUAUCUGGAUUUAUUGGGCGUAAAGCGAGCGCGGCGGUUUUGAUAAGUCUGAUGUGAAAGCCUUUGGCUUAACCAAGAAGUGCAUCGGAAACUGUCAGACUUUGAGUGCAGAAGAGGACAGUGGAACUCCAUGUGUAGCGGUGGAAUGCGUAGAGAUAUGGAUCAACACCAGUGGCGAAGGCGGCCGUCUGGUCUGCUACUGACGCUGAGGCUCGAAAGCCUGGGUAGCGAACAGGAUUAGAUACCGAGGUGGUCCAUGCUGUCAACGAUGAGUGGUAGGUGUUGGAGGGUUUCCG